UGGGUGAUCUAAGGUACUCCAGAAGGGUAAGUAGAUCCUGCUUCAAAUGUGGCACCCGUCAUGUUGCCCAUGUAAGUUUAAACCUAUUAGACUAAUUGGGUCGGUCACAUUCUAGAAAAGGGAUUGUAGUUACCACAGAAGGAACAUAUCCUUUAUCAUUUGUGAAACAGAUAUUCCAUAACGGUCAACCAAGCUGACAUAUUAUACAAGACACUUAAUUUUCGAUUGUUGGAGACCAUACUUUUUGAGUAAUUGAAUUGCUGUCUAAUUGAUAAAAGAUGUAGGAUUGUUU
Molecule: long non-coding RNA, 292 nt
Filed under: Mytilus galloprovincialis (Mediterranean mussel)
Lineage: Eukaryota; Metazoa; Mollusca; Bivalvia; Mytilida; Mytilidae
Source: RNAcentral